RNAcentral lists this ribosomal RNA (403 nucleotides) under uncultured bacterium. RNAcentral describes it as "bacterial SSU rRNA". It matches the Rfam family "Bacterial small subunit ribosomal RNA", at positions 355 to 775 of the family's 1533-position model. The record is from RNAcentral.
UGAGGAAUAUUGCCCAAUGGGGGAAACCCUGAGGCAGCAACGCCGCGUGAACGAUGAAGGCCUUCGGGUUGUAAAGUUCUUUUCUGUGGGAAGAUGAUGACGGUACCGCAGGAAUAAGUCCCGGCUAACUACGUGCCAGCAGCCGCGGUAAAACGUAGGGGACAAGCGUUAUCCGGAUUUACUGGGCGUAAAGCGCACGUAGGCGGAUUGACAAGUUGGACGUGAAAGCUCCUGGCUUAACUGGGAGAGGCCGUUCAAAACUGUCAAACUAGAGUUAGGAAGAGGAGAGCGGAAUUCCCGGUGUAGUGGUGGAAUGCGUAGAUAUCGGGAGGAACACCAGUGGCGAAAGCGGCUCUCUGGUCCAUAACUGACGCUGAGGUGCGAAAGCGUGGGGAGCGAACGG